GACCCUUUCGUCUAGUCUGGCCAAGGACAUUACCUCUUCAAGGUAGUAACAUGGGUUCAAAUCCCUUAGGGGUCG
This 75-nucleotide transfer RNA is filed under the name Thiovulum sp. ES. It matches the Rfam family "tRNA". Rfam says of the family: Transfer RNA (tRNA) molecules are approximately 80 nucleotides in length. Their secondary structure includes four short double-helical elements and three loops (D, anti-codon, and T loops). The record is from Rfam by way of RNAcentral. Lineage: Bacteria; Pseudomonadati; Campylobacterota; Epsilonproteobacteria; Campylobacterales; Sulfurimonadaceae.